AACGUAGGAGACAAGCGCUGUCCGGAGUUACUGGGCGUAAAGCGCACGCAGGUGGGUCGAUAAGUGUGGCGUGAAAGCACCCGGCUAAACUGGGGGAGUACGAAACAGACUGUCGGUCUGGAGGGUGAUAGAAGGACGCGGAAUUCGGGGUGUAGCGGUGAAAUGUGUAGAGAUCCCGAGGAACACCAGUGGUGAAAACGGCGUCCUGGGUCAUACCUGACACUGAGGUGCGAAAGCUUUGGGAGCGAACGGG
This 253-nucleotide ribosomal RNA is filed under the name uncultured bacterium. RNAcentral's name for it is "partial 16S ribosomal RNA". It matches the Rfam family "Bacterial small subunit ribosomal RNA", at positions 524 to 776 of the family's 1533-position model. The record is from RNAcentral.